GACGAACGCUGGCGGCGUGCUUAACACAUGCAAGUCGAACGGAAAGGCCUCUUUCGGGGGGUACUCGAGUGGCGAACGGGUGAGUAACACGUGAGUAACCUGCCCUUGACUUUGGGAUAACUUCAGGAAACUGGGGCUAAUACCGGAUAGGAGCUCCUGCUGCAUGGUGGGGGUUGGAAAGUUUCGGCGGUUGGGGAUGGACUCGCGGCUUAUCAGCUUGUUGGUGGGGUAGUGGCUUACCAAGGCUUUGACGGGUAGCCGGCCUGAGAGGGUGACCGGCCACAUUGGGACUGAGAUACGGCCCCGACGCCUACGGGAGGCAGCAGUGGGGAAUAUUGCACAAUGGGUGGAAGCCUGAUGCAGCAACGCCGUGUGCGGGAUGACGGCCUUCGGGUUGUAAACCGCUUUCGCUCAUGACGAAGCUUUGUGUGACGGUAGUGGGUAAAGAAGCACCGGCUAACUACGUG
RNAcentral lists this ribosomal RNA (467 nucleotides) under uncultured bacterium. Its description in RNAcentral is "partial 16S ribosomal RNA". It matches the Rfam family "Bacterial small subunit ribosomal RNA", at positions 28 to 507 of the family's 1533-position model. The record is from RNAcentral.